UGCCAGCUCGUGAGGCCUCCUGGCACCCGCCACCCGCUUCCCCGAGCAGGAAGGGCGUCCCUUCCUCACCACACAACCAGCGUGAGUUCUCUAGUAAGAAUGCGAACACUGUGGACUACGGCCGAUCCAGUCAUCCCGGUCUCCAUCCCUUUCCCCCAAACAACUGGCAGUUUUUAUUGAGUGAACGCGGUCCGUGGUGCCAGCCCACACCUACUCCAUCCCACCCCGCGCCCCACAGUCGGGAGUGUCUGUUAAUUAAGCAACGGGAAGCAGAGGCGUGGCCUCCGCCGCCUGCGCGGCAGAUCGCGCUGCAGGUGAGGCCGCGCGGAAACCGGCCGCAGGCCCGUCGCGCCGCGGGGCGGGUCCCCGACGCCGGCCGCUACGUGCAGCCCCACCGCGGCCGGAUGGAGCCCGGCGACGCUCUCGCGGGCGGUCGCAGCGCCGCGGCCACCCCCAUCGAAUCUGGGGCGUCCCAGGAGCAUCCACCCUUUCUUCCCAGGAGGCGGGGAAGGUCACGGGUUACAUAACCCGGGCCACCGCUGCAUCGCGGCUGCACCCGGCCAAACCUGCCCAUCGGGGGCCACGCGCCCGGGGCUCCAGGAGAGCCCGAGACGGAUGCGUGAUGGAGAAGGGACUGGACAGAGAUGGGCGAUGGGACAUGGGCGAUGGGGGCGGGGAGUAGACGGACGUGACCAGAACGGAGUGGGAGGGGCGAGGACCGCGCGGCGCGGAGGACAAGGAUGCGGAGGAGCAGACGUGAUCCGAAUGGAGGGGAGGGGCGAGAAGCGGAGCAUGAAUGGGGCAGGGCCCCACCAGGUCCAGGAUGCCCAGGAUCCAACACCGCCGUGGAAUGGGUGCCAGGAAUCCGCACGAGCCGGGCCGACGGGGUCCAGGUGGGCAUGCAUGGCGCAACCUCGGCCCCCGCUCACCUCUGGCGUGGUCCGGCAGGAGCUGCAGCUGGGAGGUCUCGAGGCUUCGGAGGCGUCACUCCUGUGCAGACUCCGCUGUCUCUGCCUCAAGGUUAUCCCGACAGUAGGGCCGCCGCAAUCCCUCCGCCGCCCCGCCCCCGACCCAAUCCUGGCUUCCCGCUCGCCCGGCCCGCCCUUCUGCGUGCUCACGGGGAGCAGUCAUUCAGAAGGAAGUGCCGCGAGGCCGGAACGGGCCUGCAGGUUGCCCUUUUGGGAAGGACUAUAUUCUGUGGCGGAAGGACACUGUACAUUGACUCAUGCUGACGCUCGGUGGAGGCCAAUGAGGAAGCGAAGAGGCGGCAGGAUCCGCCCUCGGAGCUCCGCAGACCUCCCCCUCCCCCCCAGACCCUCGGGCGCCUUGGCCACCUGUUGCCGCCAAUUAGCAUGUUGAGGAGGGCUCCUCUCCUGACCCUCGGUCCAGGCCACCCUGAUGCCCUGGCCUAUUGGGGCGGUACCCAGAUAUAGGGGUCCCCGGCAGCAUUCCCUCAGCGCCGCCCCACCCCUCCGGAUGCCCAUCCUAAUGCACACCUCGGAGACUGAGCUGAACAGGAGGUUGGGGAGCCUGAGAUGGGAUCAGAAGGUGGGGAGAGAUGGAGAUCGUGGGCUGGUUGGUGGUUGGGCCCUCCUUUGGGGCGCUCGGACUCGGGAGUGGGGGAAGGGAGAACUGGGGAGGGCGCAAUGUACUUGGAGCGCGAGCGCAAGGCCCUUCCGUUCUUAGGGUCAGGAAGCACAAAUUGGGGCCAUGUGAAUACUUUAGUAGGGCUGAAAUCCCUGAGAGUAGAAUCCUAUAGAAGGUAUUAAUAUUAGUGCAGAACUGACCAUCAGGAAAUACUAAGUCAGAAUAUGAGAGUCAAUGAUCUUUGCUGGAGUCAGCACUUCUGUUUUCAGCCUUGUAUAUUUAUACCAAUAUUGUUGUUUUUCUUACAUUUUCUCCAAGGCAUUUUCCAGUUUCUCAGUAAUUGGCUAACAACCAGUGAUAACAGAAGUUGCAUCAGGAAACAAAUGUAAACCCUUGCCUUUAUUCAGCGAAGUUUUGAGAGCAGAUACAAUGUUGCUUCAUUAAAAAUCGUUAAGACUC
Long non-coding RNA from Myotis myotis, 2046 nucleotides. RefSeq lists it as uncharacterized. The transcript has 2 exons. Lineage: Eukaryota; Metazoa; Chordata; Mammalia; Chiroptera; Vespertilionidae. The record is from RefSeq and is a predicted model, not a curated record.